RNAcentral lists this ribosomal RNA (253 nucleotides) under uncultured bacterium. RNAcentral describes it as "partial 16S ribosomal RNA". It matches the Rfam family "Bacterial small subunit ribosomal RNA", at positions 524 to 776 of the family's 1533-position model. The record is from RNAcentral.
UACAGAGGUCUCAAGCGUUGUUCGGAUUUACUGGGCGUAAAGGGCGCGUAGGCGGCGUGUUAAGUCAGCUGUGAAAUCUCCAAGCUUAACUUGGAACGGUCAGCUGAUACUGAUGUGCUAGAGUGCAGAAGGGGCAAUCGGAAUUCUUGGUGUAGCGGUGAAAUGCGUAGAUAUCAAGAGGAACACCUGAGGUGAAGACGGGUUGCUGGGCUGACACUGACGCUGAGGCGCGAAAGCUAGGGUAGCAAACGGG